RNAcentral lists this ribosomal RNA (1140 nucleotides) under Triticum aestivum (bread wheat). Its description in RNAcentral is "partial small subunit ribosomal RNA". The record is from RNAcentral. Lineage: Eukaryota; Viridiplantae; Streptophyta; Magnoliopsida; Poales; Poaceae.
AUGGAGACGGCAGCGGAUGCACAAUCCUCCAACCAUGGCGGAUCUCAGGGUCCUGCCGCUGAUGAUCUCGGGGAAUUGUUCGAGAAGUUGGACCUCCACGAGGAGGAGCUUGAUGAUGUCGUUAUUGAGGAAGAAGUUCCCGAUCUCUUGGAGGAAAUUCGUUGGCUUUCCCUAGCCAAGGUUCACACCACCAAGAACUUUAGCCAAGCCGCCUUCUUCCGAGAUAUGCGAGCGGCCUGGAAUACUACCCAACCGGUCCGCUUCAGACCAAUUGGUCAAAAAUUGUUCGUUGUCCAAGCCUCUUGCCUUGGUGAUUGGGCUUGUAUGAUGUUUCAGGGGCUAUGGUUGUUCCGCAACUUGGCGGUGCUACUGGCACCCUAUGAUGGGUUUAUGAACUCCGAUGAAGUGUUAAAGAUCCAUAUGACCAUCUGGCUACAAAUCCACAAACCGCCUGAUGGUUAUUGUAGAAAGGAUAUGGUGGAGAAGCUUCUGAAAAACGCCGGAGAAGUGCUGGAAGUUAGAAUCACCGGCAACUCCAGGAAUGAUUACAUCUAUGUGUGUGUCAAGCAUGAUGUGAGGAAACUUCUUACAAAAUUUGUAAGUGUGGUGAAAUCUAAAGUACGCAAGGUCUAUGCUGCGAGGUAUGAAAAAUUAGCAAGGUUCUGCAAGGUGUGUGGUGUCAUAGGACAUGAGCACAACGAGUAUGGCAAUGGGGUUUUUGCAGAGAAAGAUUUAAAGUUUGGUGACUAUCUAUAUGAUGAACCUCCAGUACGCGCUCGCCCUGAUUGGGAACCAAGCCGUGUUGAUACGAAGGUGAGCCCUGAUCUGAAGGGGGCAAAACCCUUGAGUAAGAAAGAUGAUCCCACUGUAGAUGGGGGUCUGAAUCAUACUGCAACAAGCCUUGUAAAGUUACCAAAUAUGGCUGAUAUGGAGCUGGAUAGAUCAUCCCGUAGACAUCUAAAUCUGGAUGAUAUUUCAGAGGUCAAAACAGGAGCAGCAAAUGCAGUCAAUGGGGGUAAUCUACUGCUGUUAACUGACAGCAAAGCGGAUAAAAUAGCUGAUGAUGCUUCUCCGUGUUCUAGCACGGGCAGCAAGCAUGCAAAGCAUGAUAGCGAGGAUUCAGGUUCUACUAAUCUUUAG